Molecule: ribosomal RNA, 647 nt
Filed under: Pediococcus pentosaceus
Lineage: Bacteria; Bacillati; Bacillota; Bacilli; Lactobacillales; Lactobacillaceae
Description: bacterial SSU rRNA
Rfam family: Bacterial small subunit ribosomal RNA
Source: RNAcentral
UUGAGAUUUUAACACGAAGUGAGUGGCGAACGGGUGAGUAACACGUGGGUAACCUGCCCAGAAGUAGGGGAUAACACCUGGAAACAGAUGCUAAUACCGUAUAACAGAGAAAACCGCAUGGUUUUCUUUUAAAAGAUGGCUCUGCUAUCACUUCUGGAUGGACCCGCGGCGUAUUAGCUAGUUGGUGAGGUAAAGGCUCACCAAGGCAGUGAUACGUAGCCGACCUGAGAGGGUAAUCGGCCACAUUGGGACUGAGACACGGCCCAGACUCCUACGGGAGGCAGCAGUAGGGAAUCUUCCACAAUGGACGCAAGUCUGAUGGAGCAACGCCGCGUGAGUGAAGAAGGGUUUCGGCUCGUAAAGCUCUGUUGUUAAAGAAGAACGUGGGUAAGAGUAACUGUUUACCCAGUGACGGUAUUUAACCAGAAAGCCACGGCUAACUACGUGCCAGCAGCCGCGGUAAUACGUAGGUGGCAAGCGUUAUCCGGAUUUAUUGGGCGUAAAGCGAGCGCAGGCGGUCUUUUAAGUCUAAUGUGAAAGCCUUCGGCUCAACCGAAGAAGUGCAUUGGAAACUGGGAGACUUGAGUGCAGAAGAGGACAGUGGAACUCCAUGUGUAGCGGUGAAAUGCGUAGAUAUAUGGAAGAAC